GACGGAGGAUGCAAGUGUUAUCCGGAAUCACUGGGCGUAAAGCGUCUGUAGGUGGUUUAAUAAGUCAACUGUUAAAUCUUGAGGCUCAACCUCAAAAUCGCAGUCGAAACUAUUAGGCUAGAGUAUAGUAGGGGUAAAGGGAAUUUCCAGUGGAGCGGUGAAAUGCGUAGAGAUUGGAAAGAACACCGAUGGCGAAGGCACUUUACUGGCUAUUACUAACACUCAGAGACGAAAGCUAGGGUAGACAAUGGGG
This 253-nucleotide ribosomal RNA is filed under the name uncultured bacterium. Its description in RNAcentral is "partial 16S ribosomal RNA". It matches the Rfam family "Bacterial small subunit ribosomal RNA", at positions 524 to 777 of the family's 1533-position model. The record is from RNAcentral.